UACGGAGGGGGCGAGCGUUGUUCGGAGUUACUGGGCGUAAAGCGCACGUAGGCGGUGCGGUAAGUCAGGGGUUAAAGGCUGCAGCUCAACUGCAGUAAGGCCUUUGAUACUAUCGUGCUAGAGUGUCAGAGAGGAUGGCGGAAUUCCCGGUGUAGCGGUGAAAUGCGUAGAGAUCGGGAGGAAGGUCGGUGGCGAAGGCGGCCUCCUGGCCUUAACCUGACGCUGGGGAGCGAAAGCUAGGGGAGCAAACGGG
RNAcentral lists this ribosomal RNA (253 nucleotides) under uncultured microorganism. Its description in RNAcentral is "partial 16S ribosomal RNA". It matches the Rfam family "Bacterial small subunit ribosomal RNA", at positions 524 to 776 of the family's 1533-position model. The record is from RNAcentral.